Non-coding RNA from Peromyscus maniculatus bairdii (prairie deer mouse), 5395 nucleotides. Lineage: Eukaryota; Metazoa; Chordata; Mammalia; Rodentia; Cricetidae. The record is from RefSeq and is a predicted model, not a curated record.
CGCUCUCGGCUGCCGCCGGCUCUCCGCCCGCCAGAGCGCUCAGCCCGCGAUCUCCUUCCCUCGAUCGCCGUGCGAGCGAUUCUCCCUCCCUCUAAUGCAGGAAAUGCGCAAAAGACGUCAGUCUGUGUGAGUGUGUGUGUGUGUGUGUGUGUGUGUGUGUGUGUGUGUGUGUGUGUGUGUGUGCACGCGCGCGCGCGCGCGACAGUGUUUGGGGAAAUAGAAAGUUUUGCCGGUUGGGGGAGCAAUACGGGAAAAGUGAGCUGAGCAGAAAACAGCAGCGAGCCGGCCAGCCCGGUCCGGUGGCGGCGACGCACGGGGGAGCUGAGGGAGGACUCGGCGAGGGUCCCAGGAAGGUGGCGGCGCUGGGAUGCGGGGGCGAGUGUCGCAGGCCGAAUCUGUGCGCCUCUGGUCCCGACUGGGAGAGCCGGGUCUGCACCCCGAGAGCAGGGAGGCCGCGCAUUUCUCGCGCACUCUGCUGCCAACACUAUCUUUUAGAGCCGGGGCUGGAGGAAUGGAGGGGGUCGCAAUGUCCCAGAAGACACAGCACCUUUCCCCACUCUGCCUGGACGGCGGCGGUCACCAGCCGCCCGUGGUAGAGCUGGCCUGGCUGUCACUCUGUCCCGGGAUUCUCUACUGUGCCGCGGUGGGGGAGGGGGGACCCGGACUGUUGAGCUCUUUUGCUGGGUGUGAGUUUUGAAACCUAAUUUUCCUCUUCCUUCUCCUUGGGGAGAUUCUCCCCUCUGGGGAUCUGUCCCGGACUUGCUCCGAUUGCGAGAACUUGUUGACAAGUGGAAGCCUGGUAGAACCCCGGCCCGGCUCGGUUCGAGUGUCUGUUUACUUCUCAAAGUGACUCCUCCUACACAUGCGGGACCUCGCGUGUGCCCCUGAAGGGGACGAGGCUCGGAUCCACGAGCUGACAGCGGGCGCCCGGGCUGCGGGAAAGCCGGCUGCGCCCUCCUGGGGGCCGGUGGCUGUAUCCAUGCUAAUUUCCUCCGUAACCUUUAAACUCUCUCUGGAAGCGGCGGCGGCGGCGGCUGGUCACGUGAGGCGAGCCCUAGGCUGCUAGGGAAGAAUUUCCUCCGCCUGGGAUCGGCACCGGGGAAGGCGGCGGGCGGGAGACAGCCCUGAGCCGAGGGGACUGGGAACCUAGGAGGGCCGGGAGGAGUGCACCAGGCCCCGGGAGUCGAACAGCGGGAACUUCCAGUCUGCGCCCGGGAAGGGGCUGGUCCAGCAGCUCCGGGCUGUGUGAGUGGAAAAAGAAAACCUCCGCCCUCACUCGUGUGCCAAGGCAAGUCCGGCUGUUUGUAGGGAUCGUGAAAAGCUGGGUGUUUAUCUGGCAACUCUGAUAAGUGUAGACCAAAAUGUACAAACUGCAUCCCGUCCACUUUUUCCUCUGUGAAAAAGGGUUAUCAUUCCCUGUGGCUUAAAGACGAGGCAAGAGGCAGUCUCCAGGAACGCCAUAUCAAGUGCAGUACAACCCCCCGCCCCCCCCCCCCGCCCGGGCCCCGACACACACACACAAAAAGAGCUCAGGAGUUUCACUGGCAUCCAGCAGAUCUCCCAAAGUCGAAACCUGCAGUCAUGCCCCCCCCCCCCAAUUUACCGAUAUUAGCUGGAGACGGUCCUGUUGCAUGGGAUAACUUGGUGUGCAGAUAGUGCUAAAAAUGCAGCCUUGGGGACGAUUAUGGUCUUAAGAUCAUUAACGCUUAAAAACAAUAAUAAUUUAAAAACUUCCUUUCAGGACAUGCAGUAUAAAAAAAAGUAAUGGUAAAUGAGAAUGUAUCUUCAGAAUGUGUGUUUAGGAAGCAGGCCGCGUGCUAAAAAAAACCAAAAAAAAAAAAAAAAAAAAAAAAAAAAAAAAAAAAAAAAACGAAAAAAAAAACCGAUUCUAAGCUUAAAGAAUACCAAAAACCUCAUUAAGCAAGAGUAUUUAAGUCAUUUUUUUAAGUAAAAGGUAAUAUGAAUUUCCAGGAUGAACAGAAUAUGCCAUUUUUAGAUCAUUUUAAAUAGUUCAAAAAGUACAAUUUGCUUUACUUAGUUUAUUGCCACUCAUUAAGCUUUUUGCCUAAAUGGAAUGUUUCAUUUGCCCUACCCUAGUCCUGGGCCUGGUAGGCAGUCAGCAAGUCAAGGAUUGCUUAAACUUAGAGAUCCUGGCUUAACUAGUUAGUUGGUGUUUCUGAUUUAACUAGUUGGUGUUUCCCACUGUCUUGCUAAUUUUAUUCAUCAGACCCUAUCUGACACGCAAAUAGAACUGGUCUAAAUCCCUUCCUUGGGGCAUAUUAAACAAGAAAUAAGUUUGGAAUUAAAGAAACACUGAAUUUGAACUUUUGGUAUAACUUACCCCCUCCCCUUCUCUCUCCUCCCACACCCUGCUUCCUGCAGGCGAACAUAUUAAAGACUUAAAAUACAGGAGUCUUUUGCCAUCUCUAUGACUAUCUUAAAACAGAUAAGCUGCAUGCUUCCAAUACUGUUACCCUGCAUCCUGGUUAAGAUUAUAGGAGGAAAAAAAAGUGCCUGUCUCUUAAGAGACUAUCCAUGUACACAAUCAGACUGCCAUUCUCGAGGGUAAACAAUAUUAGUCUGCUUUCAAUUACAGGUCUUUUGCAUGGGGAAUACAAAACACUUGGCCAAAAAAAAAAAAAAUGCCAGUAGUAUAUUGGAUGAAGCUUUAUAUUAAAAGGGAGAAUGCUGGUGCUCUCCACAAAAGCAAUUGCUCUCAUUACAUCCUUAUUCUUAAAUAAAUCUCCCACCUUCCCACUCUCCAGCUUAGCCACAGGAAGAUUCCCCAGGGACAUUAUGAAUAUGUGUGACAGUAGCUUGUCAAAGCACCCCUCCCCCACCCUGAUUUCAAAACAGGGUCUCACUUUGUAGCUCUGGCUGGUCUGGAACUCUGGCUGGCCCUGACCUCCUGGAGAUCUUCCUGCCUCUGCCUCCUAAGUGCUGAGAUCAAAGGCAUGCGCCACUACAAUAUAAGGGAGCAUUAUUAAAUUUACCUGGAGGGAAGAUUCAUCUAAAAUAACCCGCUUCAGACUCCAGAUGAAAAGGAAAACAGGCCCUUGCCAGCUAGGGCUUAGAAUGUAAACUUCUGAUCAUAAUUACUGCGUGGUUCAUCCUUCUCUUGGCUCUGUAUACAAAUGUAAAGGACAGGGAGGCAACUGUAUAUAUAGUGAGUAAAAUGCCCUUUUAGAUUGUAACAAUAGUCUCGUUAUUUCAUAAUCUUUGAGAGAGGGCAGAAGAGAGGAAGAACAAUGAUGUAAGAAUGUAACAAAGACGAUCAAGCUGGGGGCAUGGAGAAAGGACUAAUAGUACAGUGCGGCAAGUCUGCCCAGGGCCGCACAGUCCAUGUUGCAACAACAGUUCCAGGAAGAGGAGCAGCAUCCCUUGCCUGGGGGAGCUGAGGGAAGCAUCACUACCAGGCUCUUUGAGCCAGAAUUCCGUCAGCAGCAGACAGGGAAAGACAUGGGAGGCAAGGAGAACAGACCAUGAAGCAUGAGAGAAGGAGCGUCUAGCGUGGCUUGUUCAGGUAGGAACAGGAGACAAGGUGGGUAGGAACAGUUCCUAGGGCACGCAGAUGGCUUUAAACUUCUUCCUAGAGAGACCCUGAACAUUCUAGUGGUUGGGAAGUGUUGCUAGAAUAGAUUAUUUUAAAACACAGUUUAAUAUAACUUAAGGGUAUAACUCAGGGGUAGAGCCUUUCUCUAGUGUGUUUCAAGGGGGCCCUGGAUUCACUCCCUAGAACUCCAGUGGGGAGGCGCAGAGAGGACAGCAAAUGGAUGUUUUUCUCUUCUGUAACUUUGCCCCAGCAGACUCACCUCAAAAUGGGGUGCCAGAGAUUCACAACUGAAGAUGAUUUGCACUCGGCUCAAGAACGAAACCUUCAGUCACUCUGCAGGACCCAAAGACCCUGAAUGCCACACUGGAACCAAGACAAACUAAGGACACAGCCACAGAGCUGAGGGGACUUGUUUGCUUCUCUGCAGGAUGUGACAGAGAACUUUAUCUAUCUUUAUUGUUAGGAAUCUGGGACUAGAGGAAUCUGAGACUUGCCAAAAAAAAAAAAAAAAAAAAAAAAAAAAAAAAAAAAAAAAAAAAGACAACACCAGCAAAAGAAAAACACUCAUUAGAGGUCUAGACCCAAGUAUUAAACCUCCUAGUUAAAUUUACUGCUAAAUAAAUAAAUAAAUAAACAAGCAAACAUUGUCAUACUGAAACCAAUACAGCAUCGUUUAAUGAUGACAAUGUCAGUUACAUUUAAUUCCUUAGUAGCAAUAUUUCUGCAUAACCAAGGUCUGGGCUUAUCUUAAUUUAUUGAUUCUAAAUCAAACUGACCUUAUACCAGUAUAUUAUAAUUCUUGUAACAAAGUACUUAAUAUAUUAUGAUAACAAUAUACUUAUGCCAAAGGGACAAUGGAGUGCUUGUGUUGUUUUGGUGAUUAAAAGGCCUAAAACCAAGCCAGGUAGUGGUGGCACAUGCCUUUAAUCCCAGCACUUGGGAAGCAGAGGCAGUUGGAUCUCUGUGAGUUCGAGACAAGCCUGGUCUACAGAGUGAGUUCCAGGGCUACAUGGAGAAAAAUCUUGUGUUAAAAAACUGGAGGAGGGGGAAUCAAUCUCUCUCUCUCUCUCUCUCUCUCUCUCUCUCUCUCUCUCUCUCUCUCUCGUUCGAGACAGAGUCUCACUGUGCUCUGGCUGGUCCAGAACUCACAGAGUUCCUCCACCUCCUGACUCCUAACGCUGGGAGCCAAGGCAUGCACCGCCCUGCCCGGCACAGCCUUGUUACAGUUGUGCACCUUGACUCCUGACACGUCUAGGCACAUCAGUGUCGGCAUAUGGCUUCUGACACCUGUACAACUGCAACAGACGCUCCCGCUGGCUUCCCCGUCUCUAGCACACUCUGGAUGUCUAGCCGAUCCACUUCCCCUUUCUCACCUACCUUUCGGGAUCAACAAGGGCUCCAGGGCAGGGACUAUUGCUGCCCUGUCACUGAUGAGAAUCAGGCACAAUAAGUCUACUCACUCUGUUGCUAGACCUUCCCUUGGUAAAGGCCCUGGCCCUCCAUGGACAGGGCAUCCCUGUCCAAGCUGAAGCUGGAGCCCCCUUCUGGAACUCCCUAACACUUUCUCCUUUACCUCUUUAUUCAGAUAGAGUUAUUUGAUGCCUGUCUUAAUCUGCUACUUCACCAAAAAAAGAAAAGAAAAAAAAAAAAAAAGGUUUAAAAGUUCAGAGGCUCAAGCAUGACUCGUUUUUUUUGGAACUCCCAAGUAUCCUAAUGAUUCUUCUGUGAUAAUGCUACGGAUAGGGUUCUUUAGGGUGUCAAGAGUCAAACAAAAGGACUUUUUUGUAUUUCAAACAAAAGGACAUUUUUGUGUCGAUAAUGUUUGAUCUAAAAACAUUUAAA